Molecule: long non-coding RNA, 467 nt
Organism: Dermacentor andersoni
Lineage: Eukaryota; Metazoa; Arthropoda; Arachnida; Ixodida; Ixodidae
Source: RefSeq, a predicted model, not a curated record
CAAUUUCCAGAGACGGAGGCAUCUCUGCACCACAAAGGAGACUGCGGCACUAUGCAGCCUGAACAGCACGACAAAGCAUCUGAUCUGCCUGCUUUGACAAGAUGUGGCUGGGCCUGCAUAAAGAGUGUAAGCAGACUACUGUGUUGCUGAUCAGUGCUGGUGCUGAUCUCUACGUCUGAGUUGGCCUCACAACGUCCAGGCACCACUGUGCUUUGCUUCAUUGACAAGGUGUGGCUGGGCCUGCAGAAAAGCUGUAAGCAGACUGCAGUGUUGCUGAUCAGUGCUGAUCUCCACGUCCGAGUUGGUCCCACAACAUCCAGGCACCAAGGUGCUUUCACAAGAGGCAUACGAGCACUUUGUGUCAAAAACGCCGAGCACUGUGGAUACAGAGGCAAGGAGGCUGAAGGACCUGAACAAGCACCUGGCCACCAUGCUUCGGGAUGCAAAAUAAAGAUGGUUUGUGUUAA